This 5802-nucleotide unclassified non-coding RNA is filed under the name Hevea brasiliensis (rubber tree). The record is from RNAcentral. Lineage: Eukaryota; Viridiplantae; Streptophyta; Magnoliopsida; Malpighiales; Euphorbiaceae.
UGGAUCUAUUGCUUCAAUUGAUAUCCAUGUUGUUCGUAUAAGAAUUAUGAGUUCAGUCGUGGUUUCAGCUCUAGAUGAUGUUCAAUUCUGUCUUUCAUUGGUUUUGGUUGGAGUUGAGUUCGGGAGGUUUGGAUUGGAUCUUGUUCUGCGGCUUUGAAUUUGGGUGAUAUUUCAAUUUCUUUGUCAUUUGUUUGUACAUUGAUGGCGGAUUGAACUUUUGUUUCUAUUUUUGGUUUAGAGUGUAAACUGUCUAAGAUGUUCUCGUUUCUAGCUUCACGGUCACGGGUCAAAUAUAAUACUUCACUGGGUAACUGUUAAAGACUUGUUUUGCUGAUUCUUUGUUGUUUUUAAUUGUUAUUUCUAGCAUUACCUAUCAGAAGGGUACACAUUUAAGCAGUGGUGGAAUCAACACAGUUAUUGAUUUAUUUUAUUUUAUUUUAUAACUUUAGUAGUCACCUGAGAAGUUGCAAGAGUAAAAUGUUCAAGUGAGAGGUAAGAUGGGGAUUUUAUCAAUUAUAAUGAUAGUUUUAUAUCGAAAACUUAGAAUUCAUAGCGAUAUUUUGCAUGUGAUGAAGACUAACUUGUAUUGCAUGGCAUGAUAAAACUGUUAUUCUUCAGCAAAUGGACAAAGGGUUUCCUGAUGAUCCCCAUAUAUGAACUUAAAAAUUUAAAGCUUGCAAGGUGUAAUCUUCAAUUCCAUAUCAUUUCACUCUCCAAUGCUAAGUUUUUAGAUGGCCUUGCAUACAACAAUUUUUCCCUUUUCUUUUCUUUUCAAGUUUCUUGAUACUUUUUGGCUGAUUAUUAUAUUCUUAUGUAUUGAUUACCUUUUUCAGUAACAGUGAAUGGUACAAUUUGGCCAGGUUUUGGCAUCUUGCUUUUGUGGCUGCAUGUUUACAGUUUGAAUAUAAAACAGACUGAAGCAAAAAUGAGGCAUCUGAAUUUGGAGUGUGGAACUAAUUCAUUUUACGGAGAAUUCAAUGACUGUCCUGUUCAAGAUACCAAAGGUGCUUUAGCAUGCAUGGUUAAUUCCGAAAUAGGAGCAGUUUUGGCGGUGAUGAGGAGAAAUGUAAGGUGGGGCAUUCGAUAUGUGGCAGAUGAUGACCAACUAGAGCACUCUCUCAUUCAUUCCUUGAAAGAAUUACGGAAACAGAUUUUUUCAUGGCAACAUAAGUGGCAUAAUAUUGACCCGGCCAUCUAUCUUCAGCCAUUUUUGGAUGUAAUUCAAUCUGAUGAAACUGGUGCACCGAUCACAGGAGUUGCUUUGUCUUCUGUGCACAAAAUAUUAACCAUUGAUGUGCUAGAUGUCUAUACAGUGAAUGUGGCAGAGGCUAUGCAUUUGAUCGUUGAUGCUGUGACAACCUGUCGUUUUGAGGUAAUUGAUCCGGCCUCUGAAGAAGUGGUGCUGAUGAAAAUUCUUCAGGUUCUUUUGGCAUGCAUGAAAAGUAAAGCAUCAGUCAAGUUGAGCAAUCAACAUGUAUGCAACAUAGUAAAUACAUGUUUUCGUGUUGUUCAUCAAGCAAGCUUAAAAGGAGAAUUGUUGCAGAUGAUUGCACACAACACAAUGCAUGAAUUAGUUAGAUGUAUUUUUUCUCACUUACCUGAUAUGGACAAGAAUGAAGACACAUUGGCUAAUGGAAGCUCCAUUGUUGGCAGAGAGGUUGAUGCACUGGACAAGGAUAAUGCUUUUGGAAGGAAACAUCUGGAAAGUAGAAAUUCUGGGGUUGAAAGCAAUGGUCAACCAUCAAUUGCGGAUACUCCAAGUAAUCUCAUGGGUAUGUUGGAAAGUGGGAAGGAUGAUAACAAGGUAGACGUUGGCAAUGGGAUGGAGGCCGCUGAAAAUGGCGAAAACUUGCGAUGGAGCCUUUUGGAGUCCCUUGCAUGGUGGAAAUAUUUCACUUUCUCUGUUCUCUUUUGAAUGUUAUCGGGCACAUUGAAGUUGGCUCUAGAUCAAAUCCUAUAGCAUAUGAUGAAGAUGUUCCACUAUUUGCUUUGGGUUUAAUUAAUUCGGCUAUUGAAUUGGGUGGUCCUUCAUUCAGCCAACACCCAGCAUUGCUGUCUUUAAUUCAAGGCGAGUUGUUCCGUAAUUUAAUGCAGUUUGGUUUGUCAAUGAGUCCAUUAAUUCUUUCAACAGUAUGUAGCAUUGUUCUUAAUCUGUAUCAUCAUUUGCGUACUGAGCUGAAAGUACAGUUUGAAGCUUUCUUCUUCUGUGUGCUUUUGAGGAUAGCACAAGGCACGCAUGGAUCUUCAUAUCAACUGCAGGAGGUUACCAUGGAGGCUCUGGUUGACCUCUGCAGGCAGCAGACUUUCAUAGCUGAAACUUAUGCUAAUUUUGAUUGUGACAUAACCUGCAGUAAUCCAUUUGAAGACCUUGCUAACCUGUUAUCAUAAAGUGCAUUUCCAGUGAACGGACCUUUGUCCGCGAUGCAUAUUGUUGCACUGGAUGGUCUGGUAUCCAUGAUUAAGGGUAUGGCUGAUAGGAUAGGCAAUGAAUUGUCACUUUCAAAAGACGCCUCAGUAGAUCUUGAGGGAUGUAAAGCAUUCUGGACUAUGAAAUGUGAAACCUAUAGUGACCCAAAUGUUUGGAUUCCACAUGUCCUUAAGAUGAGACACAUUAAGAGAAAAUUGAUGGUUGGAGUGGAUCAUUUUAACCAGGAUCCUAAGACGGGUCUAGAAUUUCUCCAAGGAAAGCAUCUAUUGCCUGAGAAGCUUGACCCUCUAUGUGUAGCAUCUUUAUUCCGGUACACAGCUGGGUUAGAUAAGAAUCUUAUUGGCGACUUUCUUGGAAAUCAUGAUGAAUUUUGUGUUCAGGUGCUUCAAGAAUUUGCUGGAACUUUUGAUUUUCGAGGCAUGAAUCUGGAUACUGCAUUGCGACUUUUCUUGGGAACUUUCAGGUUGCCUGGAGAAUCACAGAAAAUACAGAGGUGCUAGAAGCAUUUGCUGAGAGAUAUUAUGAACAGUCACCCCUGAUAGUGGCUAACAAGGAUGCUGCUCUCUUGUUAUCUUGUUCACUUAUAUUGCUGAAUACAGAUCAACAUAAUGUACAUGUUAAGGAAAAGAUGACUGAAGAAGAUUUCAUCCGCAACAAUCGGUGCACUAAUGGAGGGAAAGAUUUUCCCCGAGAAUACCUGUCAGAACUUUACUGCUCAAUUUGUGAGAAUGAAAUCCAGAUAAUUCCUGAACAAGGUGCUGUUUUCCAUUGAUGACAUCUGGCUGCUGGAUUAAUGUACUGCACAAAUCCAAAAUUACUGAUCCUUUCAUCAUCUGUGAUUCUAGAGCGCUCCUUGACUAUGACAUGUUUGUAAUAUUGUCAGGUCCCACAAUUGCUGCUAUGUCAGUGGUUUUUUAUCACACAGAACACGAAGAGGUUUGAAAACAUGUGAUGAUGGAUUCCUGGAGAUUGCCAAAUUUUCUUCCUCUUAUAAUUGUGAUGAUGUAUUGGAUGAUUUGGUUGUCUCUCUCUGCAAAUUCACAGCCCACUUGACUCCAUUAUCUGUUGAUGAUGCUAUUUUAGCCUUUGGAGAAGACACUAAAGCAAGGAUGGCAGCCACAACUGUUUUCACCAUGGCAAACUGGUAUGGUGAUUACAUCCGCUGUGGCUGGAAAAAUAUACUGAAUUGUGUCUUGAGCUUCCAUAAGCUUGGCCUUCUACCUGCUCGGCUUAUUAGCGAUGCAGCUGAUGACAUGGAGCUCUCUUCUGACAUAGAGAGAGCAAAGCCUGCUCCAAGUCCAAGUUCUUCCUUAACAUCGCACACCACACCUUCAGGGACCACUACUCGGAAGUCGUCUGGUUUGAUGGGCCAGUUCAGCCAGCUCUUAUCUUUUGAUAUUGAAGAGCCAAGGUUACUGCCAACUGAGGAACAGCUUGCAGCGCAUCAGCUUAUUCGUGAAACCAUACAAAGUUGCUAUAUUGAUAGCAUAUUUACUGAGAGUAAAUUCCUACAAUCUGAGUCUUUAUUGCAGCUUAUAAGGUCGCUUAUCCUGGCUGCAAGCCAUCUCCAUAACGGAACUAGCCCUGUGGAGGAUGAAGGUGCUGCAGUGUUCUGCUUGGAUUUGCUGAUUGCAGUUACACUGAAUAUUCGGGAUAGGAUUAUGCUUAUUUGGCAAGAAGUUUAUGAGCAUAUAUCCAAUGUUGUUCAGUCAACCAUAAUGCCAUGCAUUCUUUUGGAAAAGGCUGUGUUUGGGCUCCUUAGGAUAUGCCAGCGAUUACUUCCCUAUAAGGAAAAUCUGACAGAUGAGCUCCUCAAGUCACUUCAACUGAUAUUGAAACUCGAUACUCGGGUUGCUGAUGCUUAUUGUGAACAGAUCACACAAGAACUUAUUCAUCUUGUAAAAGCAAAAGCCACUCAUAUCAAAUCCCAUGUGGGUUGGCGCGCAAUCAUUUCCCUCCUAUCCAUCACGGCUCAGCAUCCAGAAGCAUCACGAACCGGAUUUGAGGCACUAGCAUUUAUCAUGUCUGAUGGGGAACACCUUUUGCCAUCUAACUAUGUUCUUUGUGUUGAUGCUGCAAGACAGUUUGCUGAGUCUCGAUUGGGGCAUGUUGAAUGGUGUGUUUCUGCCCUAGAUAUGAUGGCAGGUUCUGUUGUUUGUCUGGCAAGAUGGUGUUCUGAGGCUGAAAUUGCAGUGGGGCAGGAGGCUGCUAUGAAAGUGAGUCAGGAUAUUGGGGAGAUGUGGCUUAGGCUGGUGCAAGGACUAAGGAAAGUGUGUCUGGACCAUAGGGAACAGGUGAGGAACCAUGCUAUUUUAAUGUUGCAGAGGUGUAUGGCUGGAGCGGAUGUGAUGUGCAUUCCUAUGCUCUGUGGUUCCAAUGUUUUGAUCUGGUGAUCUUUACAUUGCUUGAUGAUUUGUUGGACAUUUCACUGGAGAGCUCCCCUAAGAAUUACUGGAAAAUGGAGGAAACACUUGUCCUAGCCAUGAAACUAAUGCUGAGAGCAUUCUUGAAACAACUGCAGGAUCUGUCACAGCUGCCAUCCUUUUGUAGACUACGGUUAGGAGUUCUUAAUCAUAUGGAGAGAUACAUGAAAGUAAAAUUCCGAGGAAAGCACAGUGAGAAGAUACAUUAAUUAGUUCCUGAGCUUCUCAAGAAUAUAUUGCUGGUGAUGAAGACAAUAGGAGUUCUUAUGCCGAGUGAUGAUAUUGGUGGGGAUAGCUUUUGGCGAUUGACGUGGUUGCACGUGAAGAAUAUAUGUUCACCUUUGCAAUCAGAGGUAUUCCCAGACCAUGAAUUAGAGCAAAUACAGGCAAAACACAUAAAAUCAGUGGGAGUUCCUUCACCGGACGAGGCUCUGCUUGUUCCAACUUCCACCUAGUGAGACAACAGUGUGAAGCUAAUUUGAGGAUAGAGUUUCAGAUCAUACUGUGAUGUUUUUGAAAUAUAGUGCCCCAAUAACGUGCCUGCCUGGAAUCAGGAGCUCCAGUUGUUUAACAAUUUUUCUGGAGUUGGCUAUCCAUAUAUACGGUUGAGAAGCUUCAGAAGGAUACAAGGUUAAAUUGGAAGCACAUGUCAGAUCUUAAUUCAACAAUGUUUUUUGGCGGAAUUGCUAAUUGAAUUUUGCUCUCCGUGGACUCACAUCACAGUACUGGUUCUGUUGUAGAGUGCAUUCUACCAGAGGAACAAAAUAGAUCCCUGCAUAAUUUUGUAGUUUGUACUUGCUUAUCAACCACUGUACCAAAAUUUUCCAAAUUAUACUAUUAUGAAUCUCUGUAUUCUUGGUGUCAUAUAAUAUUCUAUCACAAUACAAUGUUUUUUUUUUUUUCCUGGGAAUUUUGGAAAUUUUAUGCACUGUUAUAUGGAAUUUGAGAAGC